UGGAGUGGUGCGAUCAUUGUUGCAGGUUCUGUCAAACCAGAGUGGAAACCUUCAUCCAUGACUUUUCAGGCAAAUAUUGCAGCUGCUGCUCCAUGUGUGGGAAGAUUUUAUUAGACUUGAGUACCCCACUCCAGGUCAUAUUUCCAAACAAAGGGGUAAAUAGGAAAUCUAGAGGAAUAAAGAAAAGAAGAAUGAAUAAUGCAAAAGUUGAGAAAAAAUAUUGUGGUGCAGCUUCUAAGGGUCCUUACCCCUCUGAUCAAGGAAGUAAAGCAUCUCACAAAUUCUGAUACCAUUCAAGUUUCUGAUAAUUGUUGAAGAAUCGUAGUUCAGUGUUGCUUAGUGUGCUGUAGAUUGAAUAUCUUGUUUGACAUUAUUUUGAUUGAGGUGAUUGCUCUUGAAAAAAACUGAUAGAAGA
Molecule: long non-coding RNA, 415 nt
Organism: Cajanus cajan (pigeon pea)
Lineage: Eukaryota; Viridiplantae; Streptophyta; Magnoliopsida; Fabales; Fabaceae
Source: RefSeq, a predicted model, not a curated record